RNAcentral lists this transfer RNA (68 nucleotides) under Anguilla anguilla (European eel). Its description in RNAcentral is "tRNA-OTHER". The stretch from base 6 to 60 matches the Rfam family "tRNA", at positions 10 to 63 of the family's 71-position model. Rfam says of the family: Transfer RNA (tRNA) molecules are approximately 80 nucleotides in length. Their secondary structure includes four short double-helical elements and three loops (D, anti-codon, and T loops). Further hydrogen bonds mediate the characteristic L-shaped molecular structure. tRNAs have two regions of fundamental functional importance: the anti-codon, which is responsible for specific mRNA codon recognition, and the 3' end, to which the tRNAs corresponding amino acid is attached (by aminoacyl-tRNA synthetases). tRNAs cope with the degeneracy of the genetic code in two manners: having more than one tRNA (with a specific anti-codon) for a particular amino acid; and 'wobble' base-pairing, i.e. permitting non-standard base-pairing at the 3rd anti-codon position. Lineage: Eukaryota; Metazoa; Chordata; Actinopteri; Anguilliformes; Anguillidae. The record is from RNAcentral.
UGUGCGAUUGUUGGUAGAGCGGAGGACUGUAGAUCCUUAGGUCGCUGGUUCGAAUCCGGCUCGAAGGA